RNAcentral lists this ribosomal RNA (460 nucleotides) under uncultured bacterium. RNAcentral's name for it is "partial 16S ribosomal RNA". It matches the Rfam family "Bacterial small subunit ribosomal RNA", at positions 338 to 795 of the family's 1533-position model. The record is from RNAcentral.
CCUACGGGAGGCUGCAGUGAGGAAUAUUGGUCAAUGGACGAGAGUCUGACCCAGCCAAGUAGCGUGAAGGAUGACUGCCCUAUGGGUUGUAAACUUCUUUUAUAAAGGAAUAAAACGAGGCACGUGUGCGUUUUUGCAUGUACUUUAUGAAUAAGGAUCGGCUAACUCCGUGACAGCUGCCGCGGUAAUACGGAGGAUGCGAGCGGUGUCCGGAUUUAUUGGGUUUAAAGGGAGCGUAGAUGGGUUGUUAAGUCAGUUGUGAAAGUUUGCGGCUCAACCGUAAAAGUGCAAUUGAUACUGGCAGUCUUGAGUACAGUUGAGGUAGGUGGAAUUCGUGGUGUAGCGGUGAAAUGCUUAGAUAUCACGAAGAACCCCGAUUGCGAAGGCAGCUUACUAAACUGUGACUGACAUUGAUGCUCGAAAGUGUGGGUAUCAAACAGGAUUAGAUACCCGAGUAGUC